AUCGCCUGUAUUUGACACGUUUAUGCUUGUCAGGUUUGAAAAAUAAAAUUACAUAUAUAAACCAACACUUUUUAUCCUGCAAUUGCAUAUUUUGCUUCCUGUCAACCUGCAAUAAACUUUAUCCUUUGCAGCGGGCAGCCAGCAUAAGGGAAGCAUACAGAGAAGACAAGGUUGCAAACAUGGAGGAUAAACAGAAACAUUGUUUAACUCCUUAAGGACUGGACUGUUUUUGCGAUGUUGUACAUUUGCGACCAGG
Non-coding RNA from Pelobates cultripes (western spadefoot toad), 256 nucleotides. The record is from the annotation of a GenBank genome assembly. Lineage: Eukaryota; Metazoa; Chordata; Amphibia; Anura; Pelobatidae.